This is a non-coding RNA of Podarcis lilfordi (Lilford's wall lizard), 72 nucleotides long. The record is from the annotation of a GenBank genome assembly. NCBI's taxonomy places the organism in Eukaryota, Metazoa, Chordata, Lepidosauria, Squamata, Lacertidae.
AGGGCUGUAGCUCAGUGGUAGAGCAUUUUCUGUGCAUGAAAGUGGUUGCAGGUUUAGUCCCUGAUAGUUCCA